GUCCACGCCCUAAACGAUGAUCACUCGAUGUGUGCGAUACACUGUACGCGUCUGAGCGAAAGCAUUAAGUGAUCCACCUGGGGAGUACGACCGCAAGGUUGAAACUCAAAGGAAUUGACGGGGGCCCGCACAAGCGGAGGAGCAUGUGGUUUAAUUCGAUGAUACGCGAGGAACCUUACCAGGGCUUGAAAGUUAGUGAAUGAUGUGGAAACAUGUCAGUCAGCAAUGACACGAAACUAGGUGCUGCAUGGCUGUCGU
This 258-nucleotide ribosomal RNA is filed under the name uncultured bacterium. RNAcentral's name for it is "partial 16S ribosomal RNA". It matches the Rfam family "Bacterial small subunit ribosomal RNA", at positions 793 to 1055 of the family's 1533-position model. The record is from RNAcentral.